Molecule: ribosomal RNA, 478 nt
Filed under: uncultured bacterium
Lineage: Bacteria
Description: SSU rRNA
Rfam family: Bacterial small subunit ribosomal RNA
Source: RNAcentral
AGGAUGAACGCUGGCGGCGUGCCUAACACAUGCAAGUCGAACGUCCUGUCUCGCAAGAGGCAGGGAGUGGCGGACGGGUGAGUACCACGUGGGUCAUCUACCGUGAGGUGAGGAAUACCGGCGAGAAAUCGCCGACAAGACCGCAUAGCCUCGGUGCAAGCCGAGGAAAGCUCUUUCGAGAGAGGGAGCGCCACACGAGGAGCCUGCGCCCGAUUAGCUAGCUGGUGGAGUAACGGUUCACCAGGGCGACGAUCGGUAGCUGGUCUGAGAGGACGAUCAGCCACACUGGGAUUGAGAACGGCCCAGACUCCUACGGGGGGCAGCAGUGAGGAAUUUUCGUCAAUGGGGGCAACCCUGAACGAGCAACGCCGCGUGCAGGAAGAAGGUUUUCGGAUCGUAAACUGCUUUCUCGGGGAAGAGAACGGACGGUACCCGAGGAAUCAGCCCCGGCUAACGUACGUGCCAGCAGCCGCGGUAA